AGUGAACGCUGGCGGUAGGCCUAACACAUGCAAGUCGAACGGCAGCCCAGGCGAGCUUGCUCCCCGGGUGGCGAGUGGCGGCCGGGCGAGGACUACAUCGGCACCCACUCUGUCGCGGGGGCCAACGUAGGGAAACUUACGCUAAUACCCCAUACGCCCUACGGGCGAAACCAGGCGACCUCCGGGCCUUGCGCCAGCGCCUCCGCCGAUGUCGGAUUAGCUAGUUGGCGGGGUAAAGGCCCACCAAGGCGACGAUCCGUAGCUGGUCUGAGAGGAUGAUCAGCCACACUGGAACUGAGACACGGGCCAGACUCCUACGGGAGGCAGCAGUGGGGAAUAUUGGACAAUGGGCGCAAGCCUGAUCCAGCCAUACCGCGUGGGUGAAGAAGGCCUUCGGGUUGUAAAGCCCUUUUGUUGGGAAAGAAAUCCAGCUGGCUAAUACCCGGUUGGGAUGACGGUACCCAAAGAAUAAGCACCGGCUAACUUCGUGCCAGCCGCCGCCGUAA
Molecule: ribosomal RNA, 506 nt
Filed under: uncultured bacterium
Lineage: Bacteria
Description: partial 16S ribosomal RNA
Rfam family: Bacterial small subunit ribosomal RNA
Source: RNAcentral